This 83-nucleotide transfer RNA is filed under the name Ixodes scapularis (black-legged tick). It matches the Rfam family "tRNA". Rfam says of the family: Transfer RNA (tRNA) molecules are approximately 80 nucleotides in length. Their secondary structure includes four short double-helical elements and three loops (D, anti-codon, and T loops). Further hydrogen bonds mediate the characteristic L-shaped molecular structure. tRNAs have two regions of fundamental functional importance: the anti-codon, which is responsible for specific mRNA codon recognition, and the 3' end, to which the tRNAs corresponding amino acid is attached (by aminoacyl-tRNA synthetases). tRNAs cope with the degeneracy of the genetic code in two manners: having more than one tRNA (with a specific anti-codon) for a particular amino acid; and 'wobble' base-pairing, i.e. permitting non-standard base-pairing at the 3rd anti-codon position. The record is from Rfam by way of RNAcentral. Lineage: Eukaryota; Metazoa; Arthropoda; Arachnida; Ixodida; Ixodidae.
GCAGUCGUGACCGAGUGGUUAAAGCGAUGGAAUAGAACUCCAUUGGGGGUCUCUCCGCAUAGGUUCGAAUCCUGUCGACUGCG